RNAcentral lists this ribosomal RNA (114 nucleotides) under Escherichia coli. Its description in RNAcentral is "partial 23S ribosomal RNA". It matches the Rfam family "Bacterial large subunit ribosomal RNA", at positions 2807 to 2925 of the family's 2925-position model. RNAcentral also lists the same sequence under 1 other name. The record is from RNAcentral. Lineage: Bacteria; Pseudomonadati; Pseudomonadota; Gammaproteobacteria; Enterobacterales; Enterobacteriaceae.
GACCCUUUAAGGGUCCUGAAGGAACGUUGAAGACGACGACGUUGAUAGGCCGGGUGUGUAAGCGCAGCGAUGCGUUGAGCUAACCGGUACUAAUGAACCGUGAGGCUUAACCUU